Molecule: long non-coding RNA, 232 nt
Filed under: Olea europaea (common olive)
Lineage: Eukaryota; Viridiplantae; Streptophyta; Magnoliopsida; Lamiales; Oleaceae
Description: long non-coding RNA (OEUR_LNC003918)
Source: RNAcentral
CUAAAUUAGAGAAAUAGCACAAACAAUAGCAAUAUUCGAUGUAAACCAUAUCCUAAUUUUUUCUACCUUAAACCCUACAUCUAAUAUUACUAACAGCGAAACUCUAAAAGUGGAAAAUUUGCCGGUUCUCAAAAUAUACUAUACCGAAGGAAACAAACUCCGGCCAUCUUAUCGCCACUUUCUGGCGGUGGAUGGAAAAAUGGCUAAGAAACAAGUGAGAGGUUAGAAGAUG